Molecule: long non-coding RNA, 1266 nt
Organism: Zootermopsis nevadensis
Lineage: Eukaryota; Metazoa; Arthropoda; Insecta; Blattodea; Termopsidae
Source: RefSeq, a predicted model, not a curated record
AUUUUCUGAUAUAGUGCCCGUCUUUUGAAACACUCAGACCAGCGAUAAAGAAGCUUAUGUAUGCCAUCAGAAGAAAAAAAAAGUUUUUGGUUCUGUGACAAUCCGCGCACAGCUGCUUUCCAUUGGACCAAACAGGUUAUAGAUGGAACAUCAUCAGGACGAUAUGGAUGAUAGUUGGACACCUCAAAGUUGUCGGCGGUUUCUUUCAACGGUGUGGGCGGCAAUGUGAGGACAGGCAUAUUAAUUCUACUACAACUGGCCGGUCAAGUUAGAAAGUAUUUCACAAUUACGUAAAGUGUUCGUGCGUCUACCUACGCGCAAAAUAAACAGUGCAGUCAACACAACAAACUGUAAAAUCAAUCACUGCGGAAACUUUCUGAAUCACCCUCGUAAUUAAGGAGGUUCUCUUCACAGAUAUUUAUCGAUGUAGGCAUUAGUGGAGUGUACGACCCAUGUCGAUACCAACAGAACCGGAACAUUGACCUUGGCGCCCCUGUACGGGAUCGUGGCAGAGCCCCACUGAGAGGACCGGAAGAGGCCGGUGGUCCUGCGGCGAGGCAGCUUGUCGUAGUGCCCCUCAGGGACACGGGACCCGCUGUGUGGGACCGCCACCCGAUGCUCCCAGUGUCUGCGGCAGCAAACGUGGCGUCAGGCAGAUGCAGUGAAGUGAGUGGCCUCAAAGAGAAAGGAGAAGAGAAACUGAACGCCGAGGUAGGAGAGGCUGUUCACUGCAUGGAGGUGAGUUGUCAGCGUCCCUGCCCGGGAGAGAACUCAUCGAAUGCAGCGACGCGUGGCGUUCUUUGCACAGUGACUGCGACAUUGCUGGUUUUUCGGCGUGUGUGCCCCAGACCUUCGGGUAGUCUAGUCACAGGGGCUGCUAACACAAUCGGCUAGACCUACCCUUGUCUGCAGAGUGUCAUCGUAUAGACACAGACGCCACUUGCAAUUUCCUUGCCUCUUUGCUAUUGAGUUAAAGUAAUUUCAAGACAAAAGUUUCAUACGUAACUGAUGUUGCUGGCUUUGGAAAUGCACAAUGCCAGUGGAAUCAUCAAGCAAUUGCCCUCGUCAUAAUUUGCCUCACGACCACUUUACUGAAAUGCACAAGCAGCCUCAAAAGCGCGCAGGUUUGUGGCUGGCGCGCGCUUCUUACGACCCUCAGCCUCAUCCCCGAGGUCUAUCAACGUCCCUACCCUGAAGAUGGCUGUCUUCUGGGCUGUUGCGCCGGUUAGGCACCGCUCAUUCCUGCGCUACGCUUAUUUUAAAGCG